CAAGGGGAAACAGGAAGUGUGGAGAAGCAGGAAGCAUGGGGAAACAGGAAGUGUGGAGAAGCAGGAAACAUGGGGAAACAAGAAGUGUGGAGAAGCAGGAAACAUGGGGAAACAAGAAGUGUGGAGAAGCAGGAAACAUGGGGAAACAGGAAGUGUGGAGAAGCAGGAAGCAUGGGGAGACAAGAAGUGUGGAGAAGCAGGAAGCAAGGGGAAACAGGAAGUGUGGAGAAGCAGGAAACAUGGGGAAACAAGAAGUGUGGAGAAGCAGAAAACAUGGGGAAACAGGAAGUGUGGAGAAGCAGGAAGCAAGGGGAAACAGGAAGUGUGGAGAAGCAGGAAACAUGGGGAAACAGGAA
Molecule: long non-coding RNA, 356 nt
Filed under: Rattus norvegicus (Norway rat)
Lineage: Eukaryota; Metazoa; Chordata; Mammalia; Rodentia; Muridae
Description: long non-coding RNA NONRATT013751
Source: RNAcentral